Molecule: ribosomal RNA, 458 nt
Filed under: uncultured bacterium
Lineage: Bacteria
Description: partial 16S ribosomal RNA
Rfam family: Bacterial small subunit ribosomal RNA
Source: RNAcentral
CCUACGGGAGGCAGCAGUGAGGAAUAUUGGUCAAUGGGCGAGAGCCUGAACCAGCCAAGUCGCGUGAGGGAGUACUGCCCUAUGGGUUGUAAACCUCUUUUGUCGGGGAGCAAAAGCCGGACGUGUCCGGCUGUGAGAGUACCCGAAGAAAAAGCAUCGGCUAACUCCGUGCCAGCAGCCGCGGUAAUACGGAGGAUGCGAGCGUUAUCCGGAUUUAUUGGGGUUAAAGGGUGCGCAGGCGGCUUUUUAAGUCAGCGGUCAAAUCGUGGGGCUCAACCCCAUCCAGCCGUUGAAACUGGGGAUCUAGAGUGUGCGAGAGGUAUGCGGAAUGCGUGGUGUAGCGGUGAAAUGCAUAGAUAUCACGCAGAACCCCGAUUGCGAAGGCAGCAUACCGGUGCACAACUGACGCUCAGGCACGAAAGCGUGGGUAUCGAACAGGAUUAGAUACCCUGGUAGUC